UACGGAGGGUGCGAGCGUUGUCCGGAUUUAUUGGGUUUAAAGGGUGCGUAGGCGGCCCGUUAAGUCUGGGGUGAAACCCACGGGCUCAACCCGUGGAGUGCCCCGGAUACUGGCGGGCUUGGGUUAUCUCUAGGCGGGCGGAAUGGAAGGUGUAGCGGUGAAAUGCAUAGAUAUCUACCAGAACGCCGAUAGCGAAGGCAGCUCGCUGGGGAUAUACCGACGCUGAGGCACGAUAGCGUGGGGAUCAAACAGG
RNAcentral lists this ribosomal RNA (253 nucleotides) under uncultured bacterium. RNAcentral's name for it is "partial 16S ribosomal RNA". It matches the Rfam family "Bacterial small subunit ribosomal RNA", at positions 524 to 776 of the family's 1533-position model. The record is from RNAcentral.